RNAcentral lists this ribosomal RNA (272 nucleotides) under Sedimentibacter hydroxybenzoicus. Its description in RNAcentral is "partial 16S ribosomal RNA". It matches the Rfam family "Bacterial small subunit ribosomal RNA", at positions 679 to 953 of the family's 1533-position model. Lineage: Bacteria; Bacillati; Bacillota; Tissierellia. The record is from RNAcentral. RNAcentral also lists the same sequence under 1 other name.
CGGUGAAAUGCGUAGAUAUUAGGAGGAACACCAGUGGCGAAGGCGGCUUACUGGACUGUAACUGACGCUGAGUCACGAAAGCGUGGGUAGCAAACAGGAUUAGAUACCCUGGUAGUCCACGCUGUAAACGAUGAGUGCUAGGUGUUGGGUAGCGAUACUCAGUGCCGGAGUCAACACAAUAAGCACUCCGCCUGGGGAGUACGUACGCAAGUAUGAAACCCAAAGGAAUUGGCGGGGACCCGCACAAGCAGCGGAGCAUGUGGUUUAAUUCG